RNAcentral lists this ribosomal RNA (250 nucleotides) under uncultured bacterium. RNAcentral describes it as "partial 16S ribosomal RNA". It matches the Rfam family "Bacterial small subunit ribosomal RNA", at positions 524 to 773 of the family's 1533-position model. The record is from RNAcentral. RNAcentral also lists the same sequence under 1 other name.
UACGUAGGGUGCAAGCGUUGUCCGGAAUUACUGGGCGUAAAGAGUUCGUAGGCGGUUUGUCGCGUCGUUUGUGAAAACCAGCAGCUCAACUGCUGGCUUGCAGGCGAUACGGGCAGACUUGAGUACUGCAGGGGAGACUGGAAUUCCUGGUGUAGCGGUGAAAUGCGCAGAUAUCAGGAGGAACACCGGUGGCGAAGGCGGGUCUCUGGGCAGUAACUGACGCUGAGGAACGAAAGCGUGGGUAGCGAAC